CCGCCUCUGCUGCUCUGUCGUUUUUUUAGGUUUUGAUUUUUGUGAGUUUUCGAUGAGAAAAUCAAAACCUAAAGAAAAUACAGCGC
Molecule: microRNA precursor, 86 nt
Filed under: Tetraodon nigroviridis (spotted green pufferfish)
Lineage: Eukaryota; Metazoa; Chordata; Actinopteri; Tetraodontiformes; Tetraodontidae
Description: miRNA (ENSTNIG00000020185.1)
Rfam family: mir-737 microRNA precursor family (bases 18-80)
Source: RNAcentral